Triticum aestivum (bread wheat) is the source of this 129-nucleotide non-coding RNA. Lineage: Eukaryota; Viridiplantae; Streptophyta; Magnoliopsida; Poales; Poaceae. The record is from Rfam.
UUUAUACUCCCUCCGUCCGGAAAAGCUUGUCCGUCAAAUGGAUGUAUCUAGCACUACGUAUCUAGCACCAAGUUAGUGCUAGAUACAUCCAUUUGAGGGACAAGCUUUUCCGGACGGAGGGAGUAUAUG